AUACGGAGGGUGCAAGCGUUGUUCGGAAUCAUUGGGCGUAAAGCGCGCGUAGGCGGCUUGGCAAGUCGGGUGUGAACUCCCGGGGCCCAACCCCGGAACUGCAUUCGAAACUGCCUAGCUAGAGUCCCGGAGAGGAAGGCAGAAUUCCCGGUGUAGAGGUGAAAUUCGUAGAUAUUGGGAGGAAUACCAGUGGCGAAGGCGGCCUUCUGGACGGUGACUGACGCUCAGACGCGAAAGCGUGGGGAGCAAACAGGAUUAGAAACCCCUGUAGUCC
RNAcentral lists this ribosomal RNA (274 nucleotides) under uncultured bacterium. Its description in RNAcentral is "partial 16S ribosomal RNA". It matches the Rfam family "Bacterial small subunit ribosomal RNA", at positions 523 to 796 of the family's 1533-position model. The record is from RNAcentral.